Molecule: ribosomal RNA, 460 nt
Filed under: uncultured bacterium
Lineage: Bacteria
Description: partial 16S ribosomal RNA
Rfam family: Bacterial small subunit ribosomal RNA
Source: RNAcentral
CCUACGGGUGGCAGCAGUGAGGAAUAUUGGUCAAUGGACGAGAGUCUGAACCAGCCAAGUAGCGUGAAGGAUGACUGCCCUAUGGGUUGUAAACUUCUUUUAUAUGGGAAUAAAAUGUUCCACGUGUGGGAUUUUGUAUGUACCAUAUGAAUAAGGAUCGGCUAACUCCGUGCCAGCAGCCGAGGUAAUACGGAGGAUCCGAGCGUUAUCCGGAUUUAUUGGGUUUAAAGGGAGCGUAGGUGGAUUGUUAAGUCAGUUGUGAAAGUUUGCGGCUCAACCGUAAAAUUGCAGUUGAAACUGGCAGUCUUGAGUACAGUAGAGGUGGGCGGAAGUCGUGGUGUAGCGGUGAAAUGCUUAGAUAUCACGAAGAACUCCGAUUGCGAAGGCAGUUCACUGGACUGCAACUGACACUGAGGCUCGAAAGUGUGGGUAUCAAACAGGAUUAGAUACCCGGGUAGUC